This 441-nucleotide ribosomal RNA is filed under the name uncultured Caldilineaceae bacterium. Its description in RNAcentral is "bacterial SSU rRNA". It matches the Rfam family "Bacterial small subunit ribosomal RNA", at positions 338 to 795 of the family's 1533-position model. The record is from RNAcentral. Lineage: Bacteria; Bacillati; Chloroflexota; Caldilineae; Caldilineales; Caldilineaceae.
CCUACGGGGGGCUGCAGUGAGGAAUAUUGCACAAUGGACGCAAGUCUGAUGCAGCAACGCCGCGUGGAGGAUGAAGGUCUUUGGAUUGUAAACUCCUUUUCUCAGGGAAGAGAAUGGACGGUACCUGAGGAAUAAGUCACGGCUAACUACGUGCCAGCAGCCGCGGUAAUACGUAGGUGGCAAGCGUUAUCCGGAAUUACUGGGCGUAAAGCGCACGCAGGCGGUCUUUUAAGGUUGACGUGAAAGCUCCCGGCUUAACUGGGAGAGGUCGUUGAAGACUGGAAGACUUGAGGCAAUGAGAGGGGUGUAGAAUUCCCGGUGUAGUGGUGGAAUGCGUAGAUAUCGGGGGGAAUACCAGUGGCGAAAGCGGCACCCUAGCGUUGUUCUGACGCUCAUGUGCGAAAGCGUGGGGAGCGAACGGGAUUAGAUACCCGAGUAGUC